UGGAGCAUGUGGUUUAAUUCGAAGCAACGCGAAGAACCUUACCUGGCCUUGACAUCCCGGGAAUUUCCUGGAAACAGGAGAGUGCUUUCAUUAGAGAGAACCUGGAGACAGGUGCUGCAUGGCUGUCGUCAGCUCGUGUCGUGAGAUGUUGGGUUAAGUCCCGCAACGAGCGCAACCCUUGCCUUUAGUUGCCAGCAGUUCGGCUGGGCACUCUAAAGGGACUGCCGGUGUCAAACCGGAGGAAGGUGGGAUGACGUCAAAUCAUCAUGCCCCUUAUGUCUUGGGCUUCACGCAUGCUACAAUGGCCGGUACAAAGGGCUGCGAUACCGCGAGGUGGAGCGAAUCCCAGAAAGCCAGUCUCAGUUCGGAUUGGGGUCUGCAACUCGACCCCAUGAAGUCGGAGUCGCUAGUAAUCGCAGAUCAGCAACGCUGCGGUGAAUACGUUCCCGGGCCUU
Molecule: ribosomal RNA, 455 nt
Filed under: uncultured Desulfobulbus sp.
Lineage: Bacteria; Pseudomonadati; Thermodesulfobacteriota; Desulfobulbia; Desulfobulbales; Desulfobulbaceae
Description: bacterial SSU rRNA
Rfam family: Bacterial small subunit ribosomal RNA
Source: RNAcentral